GAGUUUGAUCAUGGCUCAGGAUGAACGCUGGCGGCGUGCUUAACACAUGCAAGUCGAACGGGGGAUGUACAGCGGGAAGAUUUCGGUCGGACCAAGUGCAUGCCUAGUGGCGGACGGGUGAGUAACGCGUGGGUAACCUGCCUUACACAGGGGGAUAACACUUACAAAUAGGUGCUAAUACCGCAUGAGCGCACAGGACCGCAUGGUCGAGUGUGAAAAACUGAGGUGGUGUAAGAUGGACCCGCGUCUGAUUAGCUAGUUGGUGAGGUAACGGCCCACCAAGGCGACGAUCAGUAGCCGGCCUGAGAGGGUGAACGGCCACAUUGGGACUGAGACACGGCCCAAACUCCUACGGGAGGCAGCAGUGGGGGAUAUUGGACAAUGGGGGGAACCCUGAUCCAGCGACGCCGCGUGAGUGAAGAAGUAUCUCGGUAUGUAAAGCUCUAUCAGCAGGGAAGAAGAAAUGACGGUACCUGAGUAAGAAGCCCCGGCUAACUACGUGCCAGCAGCCGCGGUAAUACGUAGGGGGCAAGCGUUAUCCGGAAUUACUGGGUGUAAAGGGAGCGUAGACGGUGAUGUAAGUCUGGAGUGAAAGGCGGGGGCCCAACCCCCGGAUUGCUCUGGAAACUAUGUGACUGGAGUGCAGGAGAGGUGAGCGGAAUUCCUAGUGUAGCGGUGAAAUGCGUAGAUAUUAGGAGGAACACCAGUGGCGAAGGCGGCUCACUGGACUGUAACUGACGUUGAGGCUCGAAAGCGUGGGGAGCAAACAGGAUUAGAUACCCUGGUAGUCCACGCCGUAAACGAUGGAUACUAGGUGUGGGGGGACUGACCCCCUCCGUGCCGCAGCUAACGCAAUAAGUACCCCACCUGGGGAGUACGAUCGCAAGGUUGAAACUCAAAGGAAUUGACGG
This 911-nucleotide ribosomal RNA is filed under the name uncultured bacterium. RNAcentral's name for it is "bacterial SSU rRNA". It matches the Rfam family "Bacterial small subunit ribosomal RNA", at positions 9 to 916 of the family's 1533-position model. The record is from RNAcentral.